GACGAACGCGGCGGCGUGCCUAAUACAUGCAAGUCGAACGAACCGCGACUGAGUGCUUGCACUUGGUCAAGGUGAGUGGCGAACGGGUGAGUAACACGUGGGUAACCUACCUCAUAGUGGGGGAUAACAGUCGGAAACGACUGCUAAUACCGCAUAGGACAUGGGAUCACAUGAUUCUGUGAGGAAAGGUGGCGCAAGCUAUCGCUAAGAGAUGGACCCGCGGUGCAUUAGCUAGUUGGUAGGGUAACGGCCUACCAAGGCGAUGAUGCAUAGCCGACCUGAGAGGGUGAUCGGCCACAUUGGGACUGAGACACGGCCCAAACUCCUACGGGAGGCAGCAGUAGGGAAUCUUCCGCAAUGGACGCAAGUCUGACGGAGCAACGCCGCGUGAGUGAAGAAGGUCUUCGGAUCGUAAAGCUCUGUUGUUAGAGAAGAACAGCGCAUAGAGUAACUGUUAUGCGUGGACG
Molecule: ribosomal RNA, 467 nt
Filed under: Abiotrophia defectiva
Lineage: Bacteria; Bacillati; Bacillota; Bacilli; Lactobacillales; Aerococcaceae
Description: bacterial SSU rRNA
Rfam family: Bacterial small subunit ribosomal RNA
Source: RNAcentral